This 1224-nucleotide long non-coding RNA is filed under the name Trifolium pratense (red clover). Its description in RNAcentral is "long non-coding RNA (TPRA_LNC005878)". Lineage: Eukaryota; Viridiplantae; Streptophyta; Magnoliopsida; Fabales; Fabaceae. The record is from RNAcentral.
UUUUUUUGAUUAAAAAGAUAACGAUAUUCAUUCAUUCCAAUAAUUGAUAUAGUACAUCAGAUCCAAAUACACAUUCAACAUCGCUAAAAACAAAAAGGAUGAAUCUGCGAACAAACUCACAGCAUCCGUGUUAAUAGCAUACAACGGCAAAAUGCCUACAAAUAAUAAUAUGAUAAAACUAAAGUCACCGAAAUAUCCAUGCUUCCGGAUCUGCAACGUUGAUGCCCAAAUCAUUGAUAGUAUCAUGAGUUAGUAUCAUUGGAAGAAAACGCUUGAGGUAAGGGCUUUUUCCCCAUACAUUCAUGCUACAUAGGGAUUAUGUUAUGGAAUGAUAGUAGAAUCUUUGUCUAUUAAGAGAAAACUAAUUAAAAGAAGCUAGUAAAAAGAAAUUUAGCUAUUAUUUACUUGAAUAUUUGUUCUUAAUUUAAUUAAUAUGUAUUCUGCCAAAAUUGUCAAUUGAUAUCUCUUGUUUUGUGAAACAAUUUAUUGUGUAUACUGAUUUGAUCAUGUUAUAUGUGCAUGUAUUGUGAGGCUGCUCCAAUCCGUAUAAAGCUUUGUUGGGAAUUUUAUUUAAUAAACUUGUGUUUAGUAAAAAGCAGGGGAUACGUAUAUAUAUAAAAGUAUAUGGAGAUCAGUGUUUCUAAUUAUUUUUAGUUACUGGCCGUGAGGUUUUAUUUUUAUAGAGAUAUAUGGAAGACUAGUUCUUGCAGUUUUUGUUUGAUGUGCGUGUUUAAAAAUAAUAUUUUCUCAUGGUUUUAUUAUAGCCUUUGUGGCAUUAUUAUCUUCGUGGCUUAGUGGCUUCGUGGCUUAGUGGAAGGCCUUAAUGACAAAUACUCAAUCGCCUUUGUAGCACUAUUAACUUUGUGGCUUAGUGGCUGAGUGGCUUAGUGGAAGGCCUUAACGACAAUUAUUAUUAUUACAGUUCUUGUGACAGAUUUUCCCAUUGGAAUGAAUUCUUUUAUUUGCACUAUUCGAAUAUAUUUAUUUUACAAUUUGAUCAGUGGUAUUGCGAAUCAUUUGACCAAAAAUUUUGAACAAUAAAUUAAUUAUAUUUUUUUUGAAAAUCUUUUGAUUGGUGAAGAGUUUUAUUAUUGUUUAAUGACAUUUUUCUUAUGGUGAGUAUGAUUCAAUGUGGAUAAGGAAACUGACCCUUACAACCAACAUUUUAGGUACUCAAGGAGAAAGUUUUGACUAAAUGUGAUGCUUGAAGCACGUAUGUACGGG